UACGUAGGUGACAAGCGUUGUCCGGAAUUACUGGGCGUAAAGCGCGCGCAGGCGGCUCUUUAAGUCUACCCGUGAAAUGCCGGAGCUCAACUCCGUGCACGCCGGGGGAUACUGGAGAGCUGGAGACGAGUAGAGGCAGGCGGAAUUCCGGGUGUAGCGGUGGAAUGCGUAGAGAUCCGGAAGAACACCGGAGGCGAAGGCGGCUUGCUGGGCUUGGUCUGACGCUGAGGCGCGAAAGCGUGGGGAGCGAACAGG
This 255-nucleotide ribosomal RNA is filed under the name uncultured bacterium. RNAcentral's name for it is "partial 16S ribosomal RNA". It matches the Rfam family "Bacterial small subunit ribosomal RNA", at positions 524 to 776 of the family's 1533-position model. The record is from RNAcentral.